CAUUAUUUUUAUGAGAUUUUUAUUUUUAACCAUUCAUUUUUAGGUUACUUGUUUGAUAGUUAAAUAAUAUCAAAAAAUUAUGAAAUUUAGUUUUUAAAUACCUUCAAUAAUAUAUAUCAAGCUUAAUGUGUCGCAUGAUCGAAAAAUAACAUGAUAGUACGGAAGCCUCCGUACUAUUGAUAAUAUAACAGUUGGACUCAUGAGAUGAUGAUAUUAUCUUUUAUGU
RNAcentral lists this long non-coding RNA (226 nucleotides) under Ananas comosus (pineapple). Its description in RNAcentral is "long non-coding RNA (ACOM_LNC041207)". The record is from RNAcentral. Lineage: Eukaryota; Viridiplantae; Streptophyta; Magnoliopsida; Poales; Bromeliaceae.